AUACUUACCUGGCAAUAGGCUUUACAGUGAUCCGCAAGGCCAGGCCCGGGGCGAGACCUUUCCAUUGCACAUCGGUUUGGUUGACCCUGGCGAUCGUCCCAAAUGGACGACUCGGGUGCGCAAUUUAUAAGUGUGGGGACUGCGUUCGCGCCUCCCCUUU
Molecule: small nuclear RNA, 160 nt
Organism: Haliotis rubra (blacklip abalone)
Lineage: Eukaryota; Metazoa; Mollusca; Gastropoda; Lepetellida; Haliotidae
Product: U1 spliceosomal RNA
Exons: 1
Source: RefSeq, a predicted model, not a curated record